ACGGAAGGCAGCAGUGGGGAAUAUUGGGCAAUGGGCGAAAGCCUGACCCAGCAACGCCGCGUGAAGGAAGGAGGUCUUCGGAUUGUAAACUUCUUUUAUGAGGGACGAAGGACGUGACGGUACCACUUGAAUAAGCUCCGGCUAACUACGUGCCAGCAGCCGCGGUAAUACGUAGGGAGCAAGCGUUAUCCGGAUUUACUGGGUGUAAAGGGCGUGUAGGCGGGACAUCAAGUCAGAUGUGAAAGCACGAGGCUCAACUUCGUGUCUGCAUUUGAAACUGACGUUCUUGAGUGUUGGAGAGGUUAACGGAACUCCUAGUGUAGCGGUGAAAUGCGUAGAUAUUAGGAAGAACACCAGUGGCGAAGGCGGUUAGCUGGACAAUAACUGACGCUGAGGCGCGAAAGUGUGGGUAGCAAACAGGAUUAGAUACCCUGGUA
This 437-nucleotide ribosomal RNA is filed under the name uncultured Oscillospiraceae bacterium. RNAcentral describes it as "bacterial SSU rRNA". It matches the Rfam family "Bacterial small subunit ribosomal RNA", at positions 341 to 792 of the family's 1533-position model. Lineage: Bacteria; Bacillati; Bacillota; Clostridia; Eubacteriales; Oscillospiraceae. The record is from RNAcentral.